CUUAGCGCGUGCAGUCUGCCUUCCUCGCUCGAUUUUGCUUCUUGACCUCGUGGCUUUAGCGACUUUUGGCGUUUAAUUUACUCAUUUUUCAACGCUUUUCAAGAUUAGGUGGUGGAAGUCGUACUUGCCAUGAGUUUGGAAAAGGACAUGUUUCCAUGUAAUGCCCACAAGGAGGAGGUGGGAGUCGAGCAUGUAGGUGUCAUAAGAAGUGGGCCAUGUAGCAAGGGAUUUUCCACAAGGAGGGGUCAUUGGUGACAGCAAGUGUUACAAGUGUCAUGAAGUUGGCCACACCUCGAAAGGCUGUACGAAUCUAUUCAUGAAUUGACGAAAAACGGAAAGCCGUGUGAACAAUAUAUUCCGGAAGCUGUGACAUGCGAUGAAAAGGAACUGUUUAAGUGGGAUCGUCUGUGGGGAACGCCUUAACAAUUUUGAUAAAGUCAUUCUCCAUCGAAUCCAGGUUACAGGAAAAGAUGUACCUCAAUACAUAACAUCACUCGAAGAAGCCGGCCUGCGCCCACUACUUCAAAACAUUAAGAAUUCUGACUACAUAAAACCAACACCUGUACAGAAAGCUUCAGUUGCAGUUACUCUUGCCAAAAGAGAUUUGAUUGCUUGUGCUGUCAGGGGCUCCGGCAAAACGGCGGCGUACUUGGUACCGGUUAUGAACAUAUUGUUAGAACAAGGUGUUGCUGGUGCGUCCCCGCCAUGGUUCAAAAGCCAGAAGUUGUAAUUGUCACACUCACUCGUGAAUUUUCGAUUCGAAUUCACCGCGGGUCGUGUAAAUUCUCCUACAAUUCGGUUUUAAAAUCUGUCAUUAUAUAUGAAGGAACUGUCACGAGCCAUCAGCGGUCAAAUCUUCAAGCUGGGUGCAAUACUCUUGUCGCGACCGCGGGGCGACUCGAGGAUUUUCUCGACCUUGGAGUAUUUUACUUGUCGACGGCCAGGUUUUUAAUUUUGGACGAAGCUGAUCGAAUGCUUUAUGGGUUUCGGUCCCGAUAUUGAAAAAAUUGUCAACCAUCCAACGAUGCCUCCGAAAGGAAUCCGUCGUGUUUGUAUGUUUACGGUUUCACUGGCGCCCAAGUCGAAAAAUUGCCUUGUCUGGAAAUUUGGCAAAGUGUGACGGCUUUUGGCAGAACUAUGAUUGAGAAAACAAGAGAGGAUGUGGAGUCUAAAUUUUGCGUCGAGAAUGGCUAUGCCCAUGACGCCAAAGUAACCUAUGGUAACACAGAUUCCGUAAUGGUGAAAUUCGGUGUACCCACGGUGGCCGAAGCCAUGGAAUUAGGCCGAGAAGCUGUCGCAUUUGUGUCGGCAAAAUUUGUCAAACCCAUUAAUUUGGAAUUGGGAAAAGUCUAUUAUCCCUAUUUAUUGAUCAACAAAAAGAGGUAUGCAGGAUUGUAUUGGACCAAACCUGAAGAGUUUGAUAAAAUGGAUUGUAAAGAUAUAUAAACCGUUCGUCGUGAUAAUUGCCAACUCGUUGCCAAUAUUAUCAAUAGCUGUCUGCAGAAAAUUUUGAUGGAGCGAGACCCAUAUGGAGCCUUAGAAUACGCCAAACAAACAAUUUCCGACUUGCUGUGCAACAAAGUCGAUAUCUCACUUCUGGUGAUUACUAAGGAGCUGACUAAAACAGAUAAAGACUACGCCAGCAAACAGCACAUGUGGAACUAGCUCACAAGAUGCGUAAGCGAGAUGCUGGUACAACCCCAAAAUUAGGGGAUCGAGUUCCGUAUAUCAUUAUCGCAGCUGCUAAAAACGAGCCUCAAUGCGGAAGAUCCGAUUUUUGUCCUGGAAUACAGCGUACCUAUUGAUGCCCAAUACUAUUUGGAAAAUCAGCUUUCAAAACCCUUUGUUUGGAUUUUUGAACCCAUACUUGGAUCUAAAGCGGAAUCAUUGUUGCUACAUGGCGUCCGUAGAUGGUUAUCAUACCCGGACGCCUUCAGUUGUUACUUCAAAAAUUGGUGGAUUGGCUAGCUUUACCACAUGCAAAUCCACCUGUGUUGGAUGCAAAACCGUCCUUCCAGACGAUAGUGCUGUAUGCAAUUAAACAGAUUUUGCAAGCCGAAAGAAUCGGAGUUCUACCAGAGGGAAAUUGGCCAACUUUAUGCUCUCGAAGAUUUAAUCGUUUAUGGACAGAAUGUCAACGGUGCCAGGGAAAUCUCAACGAAGAGAUUCUUUGUUCCAACCGAGAUUGCCCCAUCUUUUACAUGAGGACAAAAGUUAGAAAAGAUCUCACGGAACAGGAUAAACUUAUGAAAAGAUUUGGCCUACCCUGACAACCUACCGCUCUCGUCAAUGAUGGUGCAUACAGUCUCGUAGGGGGAUAGUCGCUAGGUGGCCCAGGUGCUGUGCUGAGCUGAGCUGAUGGCAACAUUUAACAUGGCGUCGUAGCGGCUGGUUAUAUCACGGCAGCCGAACGUGGCAGACCUUCCUUUUUGUCGGUGAAAUUCAAGGGAGGAACUGCAAAUGCUCGCCGCCAUGUUGUACGAACGAUGUGGUCUGGCGAACACCUUGCCAAGGUGACCAUGCAUUACCUUCGAGUGUAUUUAAGUCGGUAGAUUUGUUCCGCAGUUUCCCGGAUACCAGCAUCCUGCUUCGCGAGAACUACUCUACGUUGUUCUGGGGGGCUAAGACGAACAUCUGAAUCCGAUUUUGAAGAAGUCUUGCAUCGAUGGACACUGACAAAAUAUAGGAAGCUGCACAUGAAUGUUGGGUAUUUUAUCAUAAGUAGAAUAAUACAGAAAGAUUCUGUAGUAGUAGAUCUCUUUAGUUGGGUAUUGAAAUUGGCUUUGGUGUGUCUGGGGUCCGAUGGGGUCCCAGUUGCAUUUGAUCCUACUUGUUAUUUAUCACUGCCAAUGCCAGUCGAAAAGGAAGUACCAGUUGACCUGUAUGUGGCUUACAUGGAUCUUUUAGCAGAAAGUUUUCUGAUUUCAAGGGAUUUGAAGAGUUUGAAAAAUAUUAUGUCUCUAGGAUUCCACAGUUUUACGUAAUUCGAUUGACAAGAAAUUUAUACUGAUUCUUGUUUUAUUUUUCUAAAGGCAGAUUCGUAAUUAUAAGAAUUGGGAAAGAAAGUUGACGGAGGCUCAGUACCAAAAAAAUUAUUUCCUCCUACCCGAUUUCCUUUUCACUUGUGAUAAUUCUGCAGCUGGUCAUGCAGAUACUGUGAUCAGCAGAGAAAGUUAAAAGUGCGCUGCCCGAAAAGCAAAUUUGGGGUAAAAGAAAAAAACUUAUUCCAACUAGUAAGCCAUUUCCAAAUUCAACCAACAAAAAGGAAAAGGUGGAAGGAAAAACUUGGUUCUCUAGUAGUUUUUUUUAGUUAAAAUCCUUUUUGUGCAAAUUCAUUUUUGAAAUUGUUUACUUCAUUUUCGAAUGGUUCCGUUCACAUUUGUUGUUCAUGUGAGAUGUUAUAUUUACCAGUUACUGCAUUAUAUUUACCACUAUUGCAAGAUGUUUGUUUAGGAAUUACUACUGUUUUGUUUAUCUGGAAUGUUGUGUGGGAGUCCAUCAGGAAUUGCUGGUCUGCAGUAAAUUUGUCAGGCUAGGUGAUGAACAUCAAUGAAUCAGAAAAUGUUUUGCAUGUGUGGUGAAUGUUCUGACAGUUUUAACAGUUGUGAUGGGGUGUAUUUCACUUCCACGCAUCAUGGUCCUUAUCUAUCAGUUGAAUUGUAUGGUUAAUUUUUUGUUCGUGUAACCUCAUUUCAUCUUGACUCAUCUAGUAGAAGUUGGUGACCUGAUACAAUGAACAUGGAAAAAUCACCUGCGCCCACGUUGACGAUGAUACCUGUACUUAA
Daphnia carinata is the source of this 3785-nucleotide long non-coding RNA. RefSeq lists it as uncharacterized. The transcript has 21 exons. The record is from RefSeq and is a predicted model, not a curated record. Lineage: Eukaryota; Metazoa; Arthropoda; Branchiopoda; Diplostraca; Daphniidae.